This is a long non-coding RNA of Paramormyrops kingsleyae, 7825 nucleotides long. RefSeq lists it as uncharacterized. NCBI's taxonomy places the organism in Eukaryota, Metazoa, Chordata, Actinopteri, Osteoglossiformes, Mormyridae. The record is from RefSeq and is a predicted model, not a curated record.
AAUAACAUUCCAGCUGGUGAUAAACAACAUGGAACAGAGCAAGCUUUGUUUUGUGAUCAACAUGAACGGGCAACGGCCAUUCAGGAAAGGCGGCGUAGAGAAAAAUGUACGGCAAAGACCCAUCUCAGAUAACCUGACGUUAGCAGAACAGGACUUCUGCAGGAGUUGCUGAUAUAUAUGGGGCAAGUAAGUAAAAAACAGAACCAGAAUAUUCCACUAAUAUCCGUUUUUUAUUCAGGAAGGAAAGGUGUUGCAACAAAAACACAGAACUGGACAUCUAGGGCUCCAGCCAAGAGGUACAGUGUGAAAAGCAAACAAGACUUCAACAUACAUUCAUAAACAGACUCGGAUCACACAGAGAGAAGUAAACUGAAUAAUUGCAGAUCAGAAGUGGUGGUCAAGCUGACUUAAAAAGGGAGGUAUUUUUAAUUAUAGAAUAACUGUAGUGUGAUUAUUUUCAUUGUUUAUAUAUAAACAAUAUCAUACUCAAAGAAUGUCUUGGGACACUUGAUUAAUUCUGUAACAAUAUUACAAAUUUAUUGGUUUCAUAAUAAAAUUCUAUUGAUAAGCAAUGUUUAAUGUAUAUAACAUAUUUUUUCACUGACUAUUUCAGUUCUGGUCUUGCCAUUUUGCUAUUAAUUCCAAUUGUAGUCAUUAGCUCCCAAAGUCAUACUAAACACAAAUAUUUGGUGUUUUAUGUUAUUGCAGAGGUGCAACUCAUUAAAAAGCACUGAAAUCUGACUGCAUGUCAAUGAACUUUUUAACUCAGAACAGCUCUUUUAGAACUACAAUUCAGGUUUCAAGGUAGUACUACUUGAAAUGAAAGUUUACUUUAAACUACUAAUUGUUUCUAAUGUACUAAUUAUGUCUAAAUGUAAUAUGUAUAUAGAGUAAACAAAAGAAUAAAGCAAUUUUCUUAUAAAACCAAUAAAUUAGCAAUAUUUUUACUGAAUUAAACAAGCAGGCCAAGAAUUUCUGCGAGCACUGUGUGUGUGUGUGUGUAUGUAUGUGUGCAUGCAUGUAUGUAUUAAUAUUAUUAGUAGUGUUUUGUUUAGUAACAAUACUAAAUGCCUGUGACCUCUUUUCAUCUUAAUUACUUUUUCUAAUGAAUGUGUGUUUUCUUUUAUUUCAAAUUGUUCCUUUUUAUUACUCUGCAAAAUCUACUGGUUUUUUUCCACAGGAUUUAGGAUUAUUUUUGUUCACACUAUUGCAUGUGAUUCUCCUGCAUAGUGGACUUUCCUCUAUUUGCAACCUUUUAACAAUUUGCAACCUUGCAACAGUUUGCCUGUGUCACCUAUUUGCAUAAUUGUAACAUUUUAAACCUAAUUAAGCACUAAUUAUCCCCCUUCCAUAUCUGCGUAUCCAAUGCAAGUUUACAAUUGGGGUCUAUAUUAACAAUGUACUUUUCAGUUACAACAAAUCGAUAUUUUUUACAGUUGACUAGCAUUUAUCUGCUAUAUAGAUUUCAUAGGCCAAGAAUUCAGUCUUUUGAGGUAGAAUGUUUUCAACAGAAAAUUUAGUCAGUUCUAUUCCCAUCUGACAAAUAGGAAAUUCCACAGUAAAACUUCUGCAGGAUUGAUGGCUGCAGUCAUACAGCACUCGUUUUACUGGGUCUAAAAUGAAUAGAUCUAUUAUCAAAACAGGUCUAAAAUAGGUAGAUGAUCAUAAUUUAAGUUAAAUGUUUUCUUCUAAAUUGCAUAAUUUUUUCUCCAGUUUUUAAUGUUAUAAUUAACACGACACACUACUGUACCUAAGACAUCAAGGAACAUCUGCUGCUGUUGUUUGCUUAUUGUGAUAAAGAAUUUAUUUUAUUAAGAUAUUCAACAAUUUUUCCAUAUGACCUAGAUUUGAUGUGAACAUUUUUACAUGUACUUUGAAAAAAAGUACAGCUCUGGAAAAAAAUUAAGAAGUCAUUCUAUAUUGUUUAAAAAUCUGCACUUUAUAUUUCUGGUUUAAUCCUGGUUUUGCUGGGAGAAGCUACAUUGCAAGGGAGGCUGCAUCCAGGCUCGAAAAUUUUACGACAAUACACAGGAACAUGGUGAAGCAGGAGACACUGGGAACGACCAGAACCCAGCCAGGUAGAGGGCGGAGGCGAAUUUCUAAUGCCACAGAAAACCUGCAACUUAUUCAACAAUGCUUCACAAAUCAGGAUAUGGCAUCAAGUGACCUUAAAAAAAGGAAUGGGAAAAAUUAAGUGCAGGUGUGAAGUGCACUGCUUGGACAGUUAGGACUGCUAGAACUCCUUGAAGCCCUUAAAGACCCAUAAAGCAAGGAAGAAGUCCUUCAUUAAUGAAUAUCUUGAAAGAGCCAGGCUGGAGUUUGCAAAAAACAAAUAUAUUUUACACAAAUGCAUUCCCAUAAACUGAGAAAUAAGUGAAAUUUAAAAAAAAUGUUGCCGUGGUCUCUAAACAUAUUCCAGCUGUACAUUCCACUCAUUCUGAAAUAACCUAAAUCUCCAUCCUAAUACCUGCAGAAUAUUUUAGAGGUGAUUUACACCACAGAUACACUACUGCCAAGUAGUGAUUCUAGCUAAUUUUGAUUCGAGAAAAAUGAUUUGAAAAAUGUUGAUAUCUCACUGAUCUUCCAGGGAUCUGCACUGACCUCCCCCCCCCCUCCAAUCCUCAUCAGCAGGUUCACUUGUUGUCGCAGACGCCAAACUCUGGGCACUACAGCCUUUUCCCACACCGAACCCAAACCCCUCCCCCUCGUAUCCAACAACUAGACACUACAACACAGUUUCAAACCUUUUAGGCUGGUUACCUGAAAGCACGUGACUGACUGCUCUGUCAAGCAGGAUUUUAUUGGUGUCACUUAGUUGAUGUUGUUUGUUUUCUUUGUCAGGUGACCUUCAUUUGUCCUAAAAUGUGCCUUUAAAUAGGUAUUGAAUCAUUAUUAAUAACUAAAGUAUGCUGUUGCACAAUAUUCUUUUAUAUAUGACACAUAUGAAAAAGAAUCAAGAUUAAUGUAUUUUAGUUUAGUUAGUUUAGUUUUAGUUAGUAAGAAUGACGCACUUGAAAAGAUUAUAUUAUAAUUGCCCCAAACGACACUAAAACGUGUUUUCACUGCUGGCACUAAUAAUGCUGAGCAUUCAAUCGACAACUAAUUUUUUCCUUCUAAUAGCAUAUCAAUGAAUCAUAUUUUUUUCUAACCUAAAGACAAGAACAAUCUUGCUCAGUGAGUCAUUCAGGUAUUUGUUAACUGAACCUCAAGCCAAACUAAACCCUCAUACAAACCAAGGUAACUAUGACACUUUUUUCCAGAUCACACACUUUUCUUACCCUGGCAUGAUUAACGACCUACUGAAAUCAGAUAUUUGGGGAAAAGUUUGGCGGUUCUGAGUUAGUAUUUAGUUGCCAAAUCUGAUACUGUACACAAGGGGAAAAAAACUUAUGAUGAAUUUUAAUUUCUCGAGCCUGUUGUAACCAUUUAUUAUGGUUUCGUUCUUCUUUUGUGUUAAUAAUUUCAUUUUUACCUUCUUUUAAUUUAGGCAUCGCUUCAAUAUAUUGCUAGUUAUUCUUAAUUAAUUCUUAUUAAUUGCUAUCUAUUAAUUACUCUGAAACGAAAGUAGAGCAAGAAUUUUGGAAAUGUGUUAUUUUUAAUGCUAAAAGCAUAGCAUUCCAUAUACUGUAGAGAGAAUUUAAAAAAUAUGGUAAAAGAAUCUAUGCAAGGUUAGAGGAAAAUGUCACAGAAUGGAAUGUCGCAAGUUCUGAUUAAAGGGGCCCACAUUCAGAUAACAAACAUCUGGGAAAAGCAUACAGCUAUGCUGAUAGACUCCAAACUCCACCUCUGAAGGGAAUGAUUUCACUUUAGCACUAGGAAACUCAUAACCUCACAGAUUAAACUAAGCCGGAAGCCACCGUAUGAAGUUUCCGUAUGAACUCACUUGCGCUACUCCGUACAUUAUACGCAUAAACUGCACAUUCUUGUUAUUGUUUGCAAAUAUACAAACAAAUAAAUAAGAUACUACUGCUUCACUGAGAUUUUGGGAAGAAAACUUCCCGUCCAUGCAGCAGGAUGCUUAUCUUCACAUGUUUCCACGCGCCACGAGCUCCGCCUGGUUCCUCAGACACCAGGGGUUCGAGGUUUUCGCUGCAACGCGACGCAGCGACUUGAAGCAACGACUUGACGUAGCUCUAAAUCAUCAUGCGAUAAAAAUGAAUAGAUUUCAGCGCACGUCAUAAUAUAACUGUAGGUCUAUAGAAGUGACAUAAAUAUGUAAAUGGAGAUGAUAAUUGCACAAGGAGUCACUGUCCUACAACGUUUACAUAAUGCAAUCUUUUAUUUCAGGUCGUAUUUAAUUAUGUGUGAAACCUUGAAUACCUAUUAAGUGUUGUAGACUAACUGUACAAAUAUAUUUGGUCAUAUACAAAUCUUCAUGUGUUAAUGUGCUUUUUUUGCCUAGGCCUACUUAAAUGAAUCAAUGAAUCGAUAAAGCCUCUAAAGACGAAUAGUUAGCCUAUAAUUAUUAUGCUAUUAAUUAUAACUUAUGUAGGGUUCUACACACGUAACAUAGGCCUAUAUUAUUUUAAUUUACAAACAUUAUUACAUUGGUAUAGCCUACUUACAAAAAAUUGGUACACUUAGGUAGAUUCACAUAUUGGCCGAACAAGUCAAUAUGUUUUAAAUGUUUUAAAACUCAAAACACCCAGGUUUUUAAUUUGUAAAUUAAUUUUUUAAAAUCUAUUUCAGUUAUAACUUGGAACUGAAAUAGUCCACGAUCGAUUUCGGUAAUAAGUAUAUCUCCUGUUUACAUACAUUCAAACUAUAUUACAUGAUACGGUUAAAUUUAUUUUAACACCGGUGUUCAGUAAAGACUUGUUGCUUAACGUUAAUUAGAUAUUUUAACAUUUCACAAGACCCGAGCUAAGAAAAAUUAGGAAAUCAUUGCGACACUUAGAAUUACCCGCAUUGACCCCCUUAUACAUUCGUGAUAUGAUUACAUGGAACAUCAUGUUUAAUGGACGGCAAAUGGGAAGCUUUAAAGAUAUUGAGAUGAAUGACUUCUGCUGCAUGAAUCCAUCGCUGGGGAGCCACACUUAAACGCUUACGUUGAUAUCACAGUUUUUGUAAAACGCAUAUGUUUCGUAAGUUUGAUUUAAAAGAUUCCCCAGUCGAAGGACGUUGUUCUCAGCAAGCUACGGGAACAUGUUGCAGAUGUGAUCCCGGGACGAGAAAGUGAAACCGACUGCGCUCAGUGACGGAAGUCAAAGAAGCCGCUGGGGCAGCGACUCCUGGGCACAAACUGCGAAAACCUGGAUUUUUUAAAAAUAUCUCACAACUGUCCAAUAAAUAAAUAAAUAAAUAAAAAACCAAGAAAAGACGGUUUUGUGACAAAUAAAUCCUUACAACAAUUCACACAUUAAUGGACAUCGCUCUAGCCAGUGGGCGUGGGAAUGGGAGUUUCUGGUUCAGUCAAUUAGGAAACAUGACUUGAAAAUGACAAAUGGGGGAUUCCCGGAUUUUCCUAUUGGAUUUCCUUGCAGUCAUAAGGAAACUUAAGAGAAUUUACAAGAAAUGCGGCCUCAUUUGGAAACCCAAGCUUUCCAACAGAUUUUUUUGGGGACUUAUUUGUUGACUCUUAUUCUGCGGCCUCUUGUUUAUUCCUGUGAAAAUACAACGUCAAUGAAGUACGUUAAAGAGGAUUAUAACAAUAUUAUUUAUCCUGUUCUUCAAAAAGUCGAAAAUACAAUUGCAAAUGAUUUACAGAACGUGACCUGCAAGACAAAACAAACAACUGUACAUGAGUGUGAAGAAAACAAUGAAAGAAGUUCUAUUCAUAAAAUGAUUUCUGCCAUCCAACUAAAUCUAAAUAAUAGGAAAGUAACCUGUUAUCUAAAGAAACUUAUUAGUCUUAUAAACAAUUCCCUUGGAUGUGACGUAAAGGAUGAAAACGGAACACAUUCUGAAUGUGCCCACCUCCCAGGACAGCGUUUGCCAAAGAAAAGAACCUCCAAACUUUGCAGACUCUGCCGAGCACAACGUGUCAUUAACGCGACGCGCUCAUGCUACGCCAAGCUGAUGGAGAAGAAUGGCUGAGCGCUGAGCUGGGGCGUGUGGAUUCAAGGGCAAACCACUCUCUUUGGCUGAUGGGGUUCCUGCUGCCUAGGAGCUUUCAGAGAAGAGCAAAGGAAACGGGCUCAAGUGACAGGACUCUGCAAAACCCCUGCGUGCUACAACUACUGGAUUCAGCAUUUUUGUGUGUCUAAUCAUAUUAUCCUAACCACAGACAUCAAACAUGACAUGCGCUCUGCUACCCUAUGCGGCUAACUUACCGAAACACGACAAUAGAGAUUUCGACCUUCUAACAGCAUGGAGAGAGGUAACGGGUGCAGGUCAUGGGCAGUGGUGAAUUGCGUCAGAGGUGGCCUUUGGACUGUUGUAGGUAUGACAUCUUGUGGUUGUAGCCUGUAAUGCGAUCCGGGCAUAUCCAGUUAUGCCACGCUUCAGCUGGCGUAAGGCUUCAUCGGUUUUUAGGCAUCGAAGGGAAUGAGGUCUUCAGAGGAACAGCUCUUUCAAGUUUCCUUCCGCAUAUAAAAAAGGAAAAAACCUUGUUGCUUAUUACCUGCAACCAGGUGUUGAUUUCGUUUCGUUUUUAAAUACCUGCCUGUAAAUGGACCUAACAAUUCUCCCAACUACAGUAAUGUGUAUCACAAUAUUUUAUCAUGUUUGAAACUACAUAGUCAAUUGUACCCAAUUGUAGAAUCACUACCAAGUAUACAUUACUUUGAUAUAAAUGUAUAUAUAAAGUAUAUGUUGAAUUCAUAUAACGGUCUUAUCUCACAGUCAAGGUGACUGCAUGUGACAGUACGUUCUUGUUUAGUCAGUGAAUUAACAGCUGUUUCUAUGAAGGACAUUUUGCAUGAUCUGCAUAAACAUUAGAGGGUUAAGUGAUGGCACUCGGCACGACUCUAGAUGUUUAUCUUUAGUACUUCUAGCUCUCUGAGCAGCUUAUAAUGGCGCCUUUAGCUAAGCACCUUACAAACACAGUAUUGUAUCCUAACCCUAAACUGACAGGGGGAUGGUGCUCUUACUUUCCUGAUUUCCCCAACGUCUGCUUCAGUAACUAUGUAACUCGGGUACAUAGAUCAGGUUGGCUGAGCAAUAGGACAGGGGGACAAGCAGGGGCAACUAUGGAUCGUUGGACUGGUAAUGAGGUUAGUGGUGGUGAUUAACCGCCAAGGGAGAGGCAGUUCAGGUCACUUUUGAGUUUGUACUAUAAUAAGCUAAUACUUUAGUCAAGAUGAUGAAUUAGGAUCUGCAGAGACAUAUUACAAGUCUAAAGCGGAUUCUAAGGAAGGAAAAUUAUAGUAAUUCCUAGCAAAACAACAGAAUCCAACUAAAUCCAUUCCAACAAGGUGAGGCCUGGCAAGUGACUUCUGUCUAAUUUACCAGAAAGGAAUAAAUGACUAAUUCAUACUUUUAUUGUAGACAGGAACAUUCUGCUGAUUAUAUCAUAAACAAACCAUGUGUUCAAAUUAUCCUUUGAGGGUAUUACAGUAAAUCGUGAUGUUUUCAUUGCUCCACUCCCUUGAAAACACUGUCAAAAACUGUGGCAUGUCUAACUGGUAUGAGAAAUUAGUAACUGCCUUAGCCUACUUCAAAUCAUACAUUAUUUCCUGUUUUUUCCAUGUUUCAUGUGCAGGCAAACAGGACCAGCUUAACAAUCAUCUGUAAUUCUUUCAUCUUUUUUAUCUCUUUGAUAGCAAAAUCUCUGAAUCUGUCAUUCAUAACAGUUAAUGGCUGCUGUGUGAGGACAAAAUAAUGUACUGGAGGUAUCAGCUGAAAUGUGCAAAACUGUAGCCAAUAAAGUUCUUACUGUGCUGAA